UACGUAGGGAGCAAGCGUUGUCCGGAAUCAUUGGGCGUAAAGCGCGCGUAGGCGGCCUCAUAAGUCCGUUGUGAAAGUCAAAGGCUCAACCUUUGAAAGCCGAUGGAUACUGUGAGGCUAGAGUCCGGAAGAGGCGAGUGGAACUCCUGGUGUAGCGGUGGAAUGCGCAGAUAUCAGGAAGAACACCGACGGCGAAGGCAGCUCGCUGGGACGGUACUGACGCUGAGGCGCGAAAGCGUGGGGAGCGAACAGG
RNAcentral lists this ribosomal RNA (253 nucleotides) under uncultured bacterium. Its description in RNAcentral is "partial 16S ribosomal RNA". It matches the Rfam family "Bacterial small subunit ribosomal RNA", at positions 524 to 776 of the family's 1533-position model. The record is from RNAcentral.